UACGUAGGGUGCAAGCGUUGUCCGGAAUUAUUGGGCGUAAAGAGCUCGUAGGCGGUUUGUCGCGUCUGCCGUGAAAUCCGGAGGCUCAACCUCCGGCCUGCAGUGGGUACGGGCAGACUAGAGUGCGGUAGGGGAGAUUGGAAUUCCUGGUGUAGCGGUGGAAUGCGCAGAUAUCAGGAGGAACACCGAUGGCGAAGGCAGAUCUCUGGGCCGUAACUGACGCUGAGGAGCGAAAGCGUGGGGAGCGAACAGG
This 253-nucleotide ribosomal RNA is filed under the name uncultured bacterium. RNAcentral's name for it is "partial 16S ribosomal RNA". It matches the Rfam family "Bacterial small subunit ribosomal RNA", at positions 524 to 776 of the family's 1533-position model. The record is from RNAcentral.